RNAcentral lists this transfer RNA (67 nucleotides) under Pamphilius sp. ZJUH_2016023. RNAcentral's name for it is "tRNA-Gly". Lineage: Eukaryota; Metazoa; Arthropoda; Insecta; Hymenoptera; Pamphiliidae. The record is from RNAcentral.
AUUUAUAUAAUAUAAUUAAGUAUAUUUAAUUUCCAAUUAAAUUGUCUAAAUAAAUUUAGUAUAAAUA